GGAAGAAUGAGAAAGGCUACAACAUGGCGCCCAGUCAGGAUGGUGGAUCCAGCAACUCAAGCAAAGGAAGUAACCAAACCGUCUGAGUGCUGUGCUUCAGCCUGCAAGGGGCCAACUGGCCACACGAGCAUUUGGGGUCGGUGAUGGACACAGCCCCAUCUUCUCAACCUCUCACAUCACCCUCUGCUUCCUAUGCUGUUAUGCUUUGCCUGUGCUGCUUCCUGUGAAAUAAAGUGAUGUGAUGUUCUGUGCUCAGCCUGCCUGCAUUCUGCUCUGUGCUGAGGAUCCGCUGCCCUCUCCUUUUCCCCUCCCCCUGCUGCUCACUGCCCCCAUGAAUCCCCCUAUCCCUCAUCACUUCCCCCCUGUGUCCCCAUGCUUAUGGCUGCCGGCUCCCCAACCUGGUUUUCCCAAUGCCAUCCCUGUGAGCUGGAAUGUGGUCUCCUUGUCGCUCCUCCCAGCUGUCCCUACAUAUCCCCACCCAACUUGGUGUCCUUCAGCACUUCCCCUCCCACCCCCAUCCUGCUGCCUUUCUAAUCCUCACCCACACACUUGCCCACUCCACAUCCCUCCUCCCACCCUUCCUCACGUUCUCGUGUCCCUGCUGUGCCCCCUCUGGCUUCGUAACCCCCCCCCAUAUUGUACCCUACUACCAAAUAAAAACGAUUCUUCUGCUGCCCUCCAA
This is a non-coding RNA of Coturnix japonica (Japanese quail), 682 nucleotides long. The record is from RefSeq and is a predicted model, not a curated record. NCBI's taxonomy places the organism in Eukaryota, Metazoa, Chordata, Aves, Galliformes, Phasianidae.